UACGUAGGGUCCGAGCGUUGUCCGGAAUUAUUGGGCGUAAAGAGCUCGUAGGCGGCCUGUUGCGUCCGCUGUGAAAGCCCGGGGCUUAACCCCGGGUCGGCAGUGGAUACGGGCAGGCUAGAGGUAGGUAGGGGAGAACGGAAUUCCUGGUGUAGCGGUGAAAUGCGCAGAUAUCAGGAGGAACACCGGUGGCGAAGGCGGUUCUCUGGGCCUGUACUGACGCUGAGGAGCGAAAGCGUGGGGAGCGAACAGG
Molecule: ribosomal RNA, 253 nt
Filed under: uncultured bacterium
Lineage: Bacteria
Description: partial 16S ribosomal RNA
Rfam family: Bacterial small subunit ribosomal RNA
Source: RNAcentral